GUUUCUUCAAACCAUACAGUUUAUAUGCUAUGGUUUGGAUAUGGGGCUUGCUGGCUGUAGGAAAAUGGUCUAGCUGUCCUGAAAUGUAUUAGCAAGGCUCUUGUUACUAGUCUCUAAGGUGUGAUAUAUAUCUAUACCAAGGGAUUUUAGUCUCAUUAAAUGCAGUCUGGCUUUUAAACAGUCUCUUUUGUGGGGCGAGCGAACUUCUGACC
This 212-nucleotide unclassified non-coding RNA is filed under the name uncultured Agaricomycetes. RNAcentral's name for it is "sequence contains ITS2". Lineage: Eukaryota; Fungi; Basidiomycota; Agaricomycetes. The record is from RNAcentral.